GGAGGCAUAGCUCAGCCGGUAGAGCACCUGCUCCACACGCAGGGGGUCGUAGAUUCGAGUUCUACUGUCUCCACCA
RNAcentral lists this transfer RNA (76 nucleotides) under Clostridia bacterium. Its description in RNAcentral is "tRNA-Val". It matches the Rfam family "tRNA". From Rfam's summary of the family: Transfer RNA (tRNA) molecules are approximately 80 nucleotides in length. Their secondary structure includes four short double-helical elements and three loops (D, anti-codon, and T loops). The record is from RNAcentral. Lineage: Bacteria; Bacillati; Bacillota; Clostridia.